UUACUAACACACGUGGUGCUGUGAGAUGUGUGCAGUGAAAGUAUGAGUGAAGCCGAGUAAUAAAGCCCAAUUCAAAAAUAAAGACAGAGGACUGCGGGUUAACAGAGCGUGGGGUGCACGGAGUAAAUAAAAAUAGGCCCAACAUGAUAAACAAACAAAUAAGUAGUGGAGUAAAGAAAAUAAAACUAGGGGUGCAGGAAGCUGAAACCAGUCCAGGUCCAUCCACAUCUUCUUCAUAUCCAUUGAAGCUCCAGUGGCUUCGUUUCCCUCGACCACCGCCGGCGCCACCAUAGAGCUCCCAACCGGAGUCAUCGUAGGUGUGAGCGGAGCCACUCUCACAAUAGAAAAUUUGGGGAAGAAUAAGAUGGUAGUCGAAUGGAGGUGAUAUUGGGGAGAAUUGGUGCCUCUGGUGCGUGAACCCUCUGUCUCAAAAUGGCGAAGGAAGCAGGAGAUGAAAAUUCCCCUCUGUGAUACGCUUUAUGGAGGGAGAUGAAGCGAUGAAGAUGGACGAUGGUGGUGAUUGGAGAAAUCUGGAGAUGGAAUAAGUGGAGAAAGAUGAAGGUUCUCCGUGUGCCCUGUGAGGGAGUGAGAUGGAGAGAGUGGAAAAAACGUGAUCGAUGAUGAUGAAGAUGGUGAAGAUUGUGAGUUGUAAAAGAUGGAAAUGAUGGUGUGUUGGUUCGUGCCUCCUACUCAAUGCUAAAACCGUUUUUUGAAUUUCAUUUAAUAGAAAUAAAUUUCUUUCAUUGAAUACCACGUCUCAAACUGUAAAUGGAGAAGGUUCGUGC
This 785-nucleotide small RNA is filed under the name Vigna angularis var. angularis. Its description in RNAcentral is "Non-protein coding transcript". The record is from RNAcentral. Lineage: Eukaryota; Viridiplantae; Streptophyta; Magnoliopsida; Fabales; Fabaceae.